Non-coding RNA from Pocillopora verrucosa, 878 nucleotides. NCBI's taxonomy places the organism in Eukaryota, Metazoa, Cnidaria, Anthozoa, Scleractinia, Pocilloporidae. The record is from RefSeq and is a predicted model, not a curated record.
CGACUUAGGGUAGAUGUGGGUUAACGUGGUAGAACAUGGCUAACUAGGACAUAUUAAAUAAUACACAAGAAUCGAUCGUACUACAAAUGCACGAUUUGUGGCCGAAGGUUGUCGAGGAAACAAAGACUCGAAACUCACUUGAGUUGUGUUCAUGGCAAAGAUUGGUGGACUGUUUUUCAUCUAUGAACCUCGUUUUUCGGGAGAUGAUAAAGUAGUUGUUGAAGAAAGGGGCCAUUACUACCAACUAUUUUUGUGCUCCAUGGCUUUCCCUUUUGUGAAAGUGGGUUGGUUGGUUGGGCAAAAUAAACAGAAGAAAAUAAAAGAAUACCCUCCAGAAAGCUAAGAGAAGAAGCAUCGUAUAUAUACAAUGUAUCUUUUUUCUUCUUCAUAUUUCCAUCUAUACAACAUUUAAAAUCUGAAUUUAAGACUUCAUGCCAAGAGUGUUGCUAGAGAAGGAGUUAAGUUUCUUAAGGAGAUACUUUGUUUUCCAAUUCUACUUUGACAGUUAAUAAGCUCCAAAAGGUAAACUAAUUGCUAUUUAACAACAAUAUAAGUGUGAAAAAAAAAACUUCACAGGUUAACUGAAAAAGAAGCCUAAAAAAACUUCAUGCUCCAAGGGGAAGUUAAUCCAUGCUUCCAAGAUAUUAGUUAGGGACUAAAAAGAAAAACAUAUAGUUGUUUUUGUUUCAUAUAAACUAUCUUUGGGCAACAACAUGUCACAAUUAAGGCUAUUUGUGACUGUAUAAGAACAUUUUUGUCACUUUUUUUCUUCAGUCUUUUGCUAAAUCACCUUUUGAUCAGUUUUCAAAUGUGCCACUGAAAAGAGGUACAAUUCUGUGAUGACAGCUUGUUUCUUGUAAAACAUUAUUGUGAUAACA